Molecule: ribosomal RNA, 529 nt
Filed under: uncultured bacterium
Lineage: Bacteria
Description: partial 16S ribosomal RNA
Rfam family: Bacterial small subunit ribosomal RNA
Source: RNAcentral
UGGGGAAUUUUGGACAAUGGGCGAAAGCCUGAUCCAGCAAUGCCGCGUGUGUGAAGAAGGCCUUCGGGUUGUAAAGCACUUUUGUCCGGAAAGAAAUCCUUGGCUCUAAUACAGUCGGGGGAUGACGGUACCGGAAGAAUAAGCACCGGCUAACUACGUGCCAGCAGCCGCGGUAAUACGUAGGGUGCAAGCGUUAAUCGGAAUUACUGGGCGUAAAGCGUGCGCAGGCGGUUUGCUAAGACCGAUGUGAAAUCCCCGGGCUCAACCUGGGAACUGCAUUGGUGACUGGCAGGCUAGAGUAUGGCAGAGGGGGGUAGAAUUCCACGUGUAGCAGUGAAAUGCGUAGAGAUGUGGAGGAAUACCGAUGGCGAAGGCAGCCCCCUGGGCCAAUACUGACGCUCAUGCACGAAAAGCGUGGGGAGCAAAACAGGAUUAGAUACCCUGGUAGUCCANGCCCUAAAACGAUGUCAACUAGUUGUUGGGGAUUCAUUUCCUUAGUAACGUAGCUAACGCGUGAAGUUGACCGCCU